GGGCCCGCACAAGCGGUGGAGCAUGUGGUUUAAUUCGACGCAACGCGAAGAACCUUACCUACACUUGACAUCCUCGGAACUUUCUAGAGAUAGAUUGGUGCCUUCGGGAACCGAGUGACAGGUGCUGCAUGGCUGUCGUCAGCUCGUGUCGUGAGAUGUUGGGUUAAGUCCCGUAACGAGCGCAACCCUUAUCCUUAUUUGCCAGCGGUUCGGCCGGGAACUUUAAGGAGACUGCCGAUGACAAAUCGGAGGAAGGUGGGGACGACGUCAAGUCAUCAUGGCCCUUACGUGUAGGGCUACACACGUGCUACAAUGGCUGGUACAAACGGUCGCAAACCCGCGAGGGGAGCCAAUCCGAGAAAGCCAGUCGUAGUCCGGAUUGGGGUCUGCAACUCGACCCCAUG
This 404-nucleotide ribosomal RNA is filed under the name uncultured bacterium. RNAcentral describes it as "bacterial SSU rRNA". It matches the Rfam family "Bacterial small subunit ribosomal RNA", at positions 917 to 1322 of the family's 1533-position model. The record is from RNAcentral.